RNAcentral lists this RNase P RNA (394 nucleotides) under Chloroflexota bacterium. RNAcentral's name for it is "RNase P RNA component class A". It matches the Rfam family "Bacterial RNase P class A". Rfam says of the family: Ribonuclease P (RNase P) is a ubiquitous endoribonuclease, found in archaea, bacteria and eukarya as well as chloroplasts and mitochondria. Lineage: Bacteria; Bacillati; Chloroflexota. The record is from RNAcentral.
UGAGUAAGACAGGCAAUCGCGGACUAUGGCGGUCCGAGGAAAGUCCGAACUCCAUAGAGCAGAAUGCUGGCUAACGGCCAGUGGGGGUGACCCCAAGGAAAGUGCCACAGAAACAAUACCGCCCGCCAGCAAUGGUGGGUAAGGGUGAAAUGGCGGGGUAAGAGCCCACCGGCAGCCGGGCGACCGGCUGGCCGGGUAAACCCCAUUCGGAGCAAGACCGAGCAGAGGGAGGAGUAGACGCACCCUCAUGCGUCUACUCGCAGGUUGCUCGCCUGUUAACCUUCGGGUUGGUCGCUUGAGGCGGUGGGUAACCGCCGUCCCAGAUAGAUGAUUGCCCCUCGCGCGCGCGCAAGAGCGCGCGGGGACAGAAUUCGGCUUACGGCUUGCUCGCACC